This 492-nucleotide ribosomal RNA is filed under the name uncultured bacterium. RNAcentral describes it as "partial 16S ribosomal RNA". It matches the Rfam family "Bacterial small subunit ribosomal RNA", at positions 29 to 507 of the family's 1533-position model. The record is from RNAcentral.
AGUGAACGCUGGCGGUAGGCCUAUCACAUGCAAGUCGAACGGCAGCACAGUAAGAGCUUGCUCUUACGGGUGGCGAGUGGCGGACGGGUGAGGAAUACAUCGGAAUCUACUUUUUCGUGGGGGAUAACGUAGGGAAACUUACGCUAAUACCGCAUACGACCAACGGGUGAAAGCAGGGGAUCUUCGGACCUUGCGCGAUUGAAUGAGCCGAUGUCGGAUUAGCUAGUUGGCGGGGUAAAGGCCCACCAAGGCGACGAUCCGUAGCUGGUCUGAGAGGAUGAUCAGCCACACUGGAACUGAGACACGGUCCAGACUCCUACGGGAGGCAGCAGUGGGGAAUAUUGGACAAUGGGCGCAAGCCUGAUCCAGCCAUACCGCGUGGGUGAAGAAGGCCUUCGGGUUGUAAAGCCCUUUUGUUGGGAAAGAAAAGCAGCAGGUUAAUACCCCGCUGUUCUGACGGUACCCAAAGAAUAAGCACCGGCUAACUUCGUG